Long non-coding RNA from Thalassophryne amazonica, 153 nucleotides. RefSeq lists it as uncharacterized. The record is from RefSeq and is a predicted model, not a curated record. The transcript is spliced from 3 exons. NCBI's taxonomy places the organism in Eukaryota, Metazoa, Chordata, Actinopteri, Batrachoidiformes, Batrachoididae.
UUUCUGGAUGUUGUUUGUCAUUGUUGAUGUUGUUCCUGGCCGGUGCUCCGGUGCGGUUCUGGAUACGUACUGAACCAGGUCUCUAUAAUCCAGGAAGGACAGAAUGUGGAGCAGCGGGUCCGACGGCAGCUGGUCCAUCCGUAACUCCGUGGA